This is a long non-coding RNA of Oncorhynchus tshawytscha (Chinook salmon), 2714 nucleotides long. Lineage: Eukaryota; Metazoa; Chordata; Actinopteri; Salmoniformes; Salmonidae. The record is from Ensembl.
UUUGUUUUCAAUCAAUAUUUUAUUCACUGCAUUCAUAUUAUGGCAACAUGCUCUUUAACACAAAAAUACAAAACAGCAAAGGUUCCAAAAUAAAUGUAAUGAUCGUGUAUUAAAAAUAAAGUAAGAGGUAAGACUAAAAAUCACACAUUUAUAGGGAGGACUUUAAAAGCAGGAACAGGAAUAGUAUAGAGGUGAAUGAAGGAGGGGUAUUUAUGCUUUCAUUAAGUAUUUUAGUGCUCUGAAGGGCUUUAAGCCAUAAGAAUUAGAGUAAUAAGAUAAACGUAUUUUAAAAAAUGAAGUAAAGAUUUAAAGUGUCAUUUAACACCUGAUUUCCUUAACAAAAGCCACAUCUCAAUCGGUAGUCCAGGUGUGACAGGGUGUGACACAGGAUGGCCUUUCCUCCUUAGGUCUCUGCAGUUCCUCAAGCAAGAUGGAGCCCGAUGACAUCACGGACUCCCACCAGACAAACUCCUUCAAUUCUCUACUCUCUCUCUCUCUUUCUCUCUCUGUGUGUGUUUUCUUAUCCAGUGAGACAGGUAAAAGCCGAAUAGCGAUUUUGAUUGGCACAGAGUUUCAUAAUAUAGCAUAACAAUGUUUACAUAUGAAUAAUAUAACAACAACAACAACAAGGAUAGAGUAACAACAGUCAACAGUAUAAUGAUAUAACUAAAAUAACAUAAAAAGGAACAUACAUUGUUACAAAAUGAAGCUACACAGGAACAGUUGAUGAAUUUCUAUACCAUUUAAAACCAGUUGGAACCACUUGGAACCAGUUGGAACCAUUUGGAACCAGUUGGAACCAUUUGAAACCAGUUGGAACCAGUUGAAACCACGUGGAACCAGUUGGAACCAGUUGAAACCACGUGGAACCAGUUGGAACCAGUUGAAACCACGUGGAACCAGUUGGAACCAUUUGGAACUAGUUGGAACCAUUUGGAACCAGUUGAAACCACGUGGAACCAGUUGAAACCACGUGGAACAAGUUGGAACCAGUUGGAACCAGUUGAAACCACGUGGAACCAGUUGGAACCAUUUGGAACUAGUUGGAACCAUUUGGAACCAGUUGAAACCAGUUGAAACCACGUGGAACAAGUUGGAACCAUUUGGAACCAGUUGAAACCAGUUGGAACCAGUUGAAACCAUGUGGAACCAGUUGGAACCAUUUGGAACCAGUUGAAACCAGUUGGAACCAGUUGAAACCAUGUGGAACCAGUUGGAACCAGAUGGAGCCAGUUGGAACCAGUUGAAACCAGUUGGAACCAUUUGAAACCAGUUGAAACCAGUUGGAACCAGAUGCAACCACCCAAGAGAGCAUAAAUCAGUUGAUAUAUACAAUGCUAUGCUGGUUUUACUGUAAAGGCUGGCUGGUGCAUUAUAAAUAAGCUAAAAUAUUACACUGUACUCAUGUAUGUCAACAUCAUAUUGGUAAUACAGUAUAGUACAAUGUCUUUAUAUUUUGUCAUGUUCAAUGAAGUAUAUUCAUUUGAUUAUGUUUUUUAAAAUUUAUAUUUCUCAUGACACAACAGGUCAGGUGAGAUCUUCAACACACCUUAGAGGGACUGUGUUUCAACACACCUGUUUCAACACACCUGAUCACAGAAUCAGAAUACUUUGUUAACUUGAUACCAUUCAGAUACCAGAUGUCCAAAGGGUCCUUCAUCACACAUGUAUAUAAUAAGUAGUGUAUAGUUCCGACAUAUGAGGAACAUGGCCAAUAGUAUAUCAAAGAGGGGAGUGGUCAGUGAGUAAAGGGAAAGACAAUAACAGAGGACAUAUGAAAAACUAUUUCCAGAGGAGGUAUAAACAUGACUUCGGGGACAGGGUGUUGUUUCCCGUCAGAGAGGGGAAGACAAAAAGUGUUACACAGAUUUAGAGCAAUCAAUGUUAGUGACCUCUGGACUCAUUCAGGAAGGUGUUAGUGACCUCUGGACUCAUUCAGGAAGGUGUUAGUGACCUCUGGACUCAUUCAGGAAGGUGUUAGUGACCUCUGGACUCAUUCAGGAAGGUGUUAGUGACCUCUGGACUCAUUCAGGAAGGUGUUAGUGACCUCUGGACUCAUUCAGGAAGGUGUUAGUGACCUCUGGACUCAUUCAGGAAGGUGUUAGUGACCUCUGGACUCAUUCAGGAAGGUGUUAGUGACCUCUGGACUCAUUCAGUAAGGUGUUAGUGACCCCUGGACUCAUUCAGGAAGGUGUUAGUGACCUCUGGACUCAUUCAGGAAGGUGUUAGUGAUCUCUGGACUCUUUCAGGAAGGUGUUAGUGACCUCUGGACUCAUUCAGGAAGGUGGUAGAGUGACCUCUGGACUCAUUCAGGAGAAUGUUAGUGACCUCUGGACUCAAUCAGGAGAAUGUUAGUGACCUCUGGACUCAUUCAGAGAAUGUUAGAGUGACCUCUGGACUCAUUCAGGAGAAUGUUAGUGACCUCUGGACUCAUUCAGGAAGGUGUUAGUGACCUCUGGACUCAUUCAGGAGAAUGUUAGAGUGACCUCUGGACUCAUUCAGGAGAAUGUUAGCGUGACCUCUGGACUCAUUCAGAGAAUGUUAGAGUGACCUCUGGACUCAUUCAGGAGAAUGUUAGAGUGACCUCUGGACUCAUUCAGGAGAAUGUUAUAGUGACCUCUGUACUCAUUCAGGAGAAUGUUAGAGUGAUCUCUGGACUCAUUCAGGAGAAUGUUAGAGUGAUCUCUGGACUCAUUCAGGAGAAUGUAAGAGUG